UUCCAGCUCCAAUAGCGUAUAUUAAAGUUGUUGCAGUUAGAACGCUCGUAGUCGGAUUUCGGGGCAGUCCGACCGGUCUGCCGAUGGGUAUGCACUGGCCGGAGUGUCCUUUUUGCCGGAGACCGUGCCUACUCUUAACUGAGCGGGGGCGGGAGACGGCACUUUUACUUUGAAAAAAUCAGAGUGUUUCAAGCAGGCAGCUCGCUCUUGCAUGGAUUAGCAUGGGAUAAUGAAAUAGGACUUUGGUGCUAUUUUGUUGGUUUCGAACACCGAAGUAAUGAUGAGAAGGGACAGUCAGGGGCACUCGUAUUCCGCAGAGAGAGGUGAAAUUCUCAGACCCGCGGAAGACGAACCACUGCGAAAGCAUUUGCCAGGGAUGUUUUCAUCA
RNAcentral lists this ribosomal RNA (388 nucleotides) under Chrysochromulina sp. Its description in RNAcentral is "partial small subunit ribosomal RNA". It matches the Rfam family "Eukaryotic small subunit ribosomal RNA", at positions 583 to 975 of the family's 1831-position model. Lineage: Eukaryota; Haptophyta; Prymnesiales; Chrysochromulinaceae. The record is from RNAcentral.